GAGCUAAUGAAGUUCGAAAUGGGAGAUGCGUUUUUGAAAUGUUUCAGUGUUUUACGUGUAUUAAAAUCAUGAAGUAAAAUGUAAUUGCAAAUGACAAUAUAUAUGGGUAUGUGUUAUUCUAAUUAUUACAUGGAAUAUACAACUUUAUUUUCGAUUUUAUAGCAAUUUAUAAAAGUUCAAAAAGUGGUUGUGCUUUUGGAAUUAAUCGUAACGAGAGUAAGAAAAAUAUUCAAAUUGGAUUUAAUAUUCAAUUUAAUUUGAAGUAUACACAGUAAAGGAAUAAUAACGAUUUGAAUCCGGACAUGUUAGUUUGAGACCGACGAGCUACAGCCCUCCAUGAAGUUGGAAAGUUGUCAAUUUGUUACGGAGAGUGCCUGCUAGCUAGAAACUAUACGUUAUAAACUCGUAAAGACAGAUUUCGUAAGCAGACCGCCGUGACAUAAUUGGAAGCUGGUGAGAAACGGCGUAAAACCCAACUAAAUGGUUAUCAAAUGCAAAUGCUUCAGCUGUUACCAAUCCGAAGAUAUACAGAUGCUAUUUUAAAAGAAAAAAACAACAGCCUAUUCCUUUCCUAAAGGGCAAACUUCAAGAACCACAUGGAUUCUGCACCAAGAACCGACUGGAGGAAAAAUGAAAACGAUCGGAAAACAUCAGUAAGUUACAAGACGAAGACAAGCAUGGGAGUAGCAGGUUAUUGUUGUUGUUCUCUACUGUGAAAUUUGGAAGUGAAUGCUGGCACUUAGAUGGUAUUAUUAUGGAAGUAAAGUCAGUUACAAUACAAAUCGUAAUGGUGCACACGAUUUCACAUAGUUCAGGUUGUUUGUUGCUCUUUUAAACGUUUUGAUCGUUUCUGUUAUAAUAAAGGAAUGUAUUUAUUUUUAAUACGUGUAACGGGUGAACAGUGGGAUAACCUUAAUGAAUUUUCUUUGUCCAAAACAAAUGUUUGAGAACUCUUGAUAAUGUUUUAAAACAAAAUGUGUUAGCAAACUGUGCAAAAACUACAGAAAAUAUCAUUUCAGCUAAUGUAAAAGUGACAUUUACUUUAAAUAUUUCUUACAUGUUUGCUUGUAAAUAAACCUUUCAUUUUUUUUUGUUCGUAAAAUGGGUUUCAGGAGAUUUUUACAUGCUCUAGAGCGUAACUAACUAGAUCACAUUCUAUAUUGAUUUGUUACGGGGCUUCAAAUUUCAAAUUGAUUAAGCUGUUCAUUGUUUCCCUGCUUACAUUAAACUUAAACGAUAAAGCCCACUAUUUUCCCCCUGGUAUGUUAAAUCAGUCAAUGUGUGCAUUUAUGAAUACAGGGUAUGGAAUAACAAUAGCCUGUUCAUUUUAAAGCUAAGACAUUUGUCAUUUUUAUUCAACUAUACAAUUUAGUAUUUUAAGUUUGGAAAUAUACUUGCAACCCAGCUAAUACACAAAAUUGAAUAUAAAUACAUAUUUACGUUUUACUGAAAAAGAAGCAUGCCCAAUUUGAGAUGUCAUUAAAUAUAAAACCCAUCAGCCUUAGCGUAAAUUUGCAUUACUAUUACAUUGUUACAUAAAUUAGAAAAGUCUUAUAUUCCACAAGGGAACGUAUGAUUCCGUAUGUGCGUAUUUCAUAAGAACUCGAGCAUGUUUAUUUUACAUAUUUGUCUUCAUGGGAUUCACCCUGUGAGAACACUUUCAUGUAAUCUGGACCAAGCUUGGGAUUGCAUUUGAGGUUUGGAGCAUCAUAAACCGGCGUAAAUCCGUGAUAUUUGUUUUCCUACUAGGGUCUUGUUUUCACCACUGGGGAUUA
Mercenaria mercenaria is the source of this 1775-nucleotide long non-coding RNA. RefSeq lists it as uncharacterized. The transcript is spliced from 4 exons. Lineage: Eukaryota; Metazoa; Mollusca; Bivalvia; Venerida; Veneridae. The record is from RefSeq and is a predicted model, not a curated record.